GCUGGAGAAGGACAAUAUAGCACUUCAGAAAGAAAAUACAAAUACCCUAGGAGUACAUGGUGGUAGUGUAUUAAUUCCUUAGCUACAUGUAGACUUUUAUUAGGUCACUUAUAACUAGGGUGACAUAUAAUUUAUAUUCCAAACUGGGUCACUUUUGAGAGUGAAAGGAUGUGCUAUUUGAAUGGGACACUGAGACAAUAGGUGUAAAACAGAACUGUUUCAGGAAAACCAGGACACUUGAUCACCUCCUACUAAUAACAUACUUUUCUCCAUACUUAGUCCCAGUUCCUUGGACCACAGAUAAUUUUUUUUCCUACAUAGUACUCUGAUCUGCAUUUGAGGAACUUGUCAAGCUUUGAUUCCUUUUUCUUGGUCUUGUUGGAAUGAAGGAAUUCUUUUCAUUUUUUCCUGCUCCCCUGGACUGUUCUUCUGGUUUACAGCCUUGAUGGAGGUAGGAUGAUGAUUCUGAAACUUCAGAUCUUCAAAGAAGGGAAGGAAAACACCUUUGUUUAUAUUGUGGAAGUGGUGUUUUUAUAUGUUGGAUCACUGUAAUGCUUUCAUUUUGUUUUCCUAUAAAUAAAUAUUUUUUUAUUCUUAUAUCAAGCCACGUGUUUUAUUCUGUUAGGUAACUUUAUCAUCUUACAUUUUUCUGGUAAAUUAAAAAUUAACAGAAGUAAUAGUUGCCUUUGGGGGUAGUACUUACUCACAUAUGAUUUUCCUCACCCCUAAGAUCCUUAUUUGGAAUCUGGGAUGGGACUAGGUUGUCAAGGUUUGGAAAUCACCACUUUGGAGUACUAGAAUGGAAUCCUAAACAGUCUCAAAUUGAGAUAAACCUGAACCCACCUGUGUUCUUCCUAGAGUCUUACUGUUUCUCUGUACAGUCUGCCAUCUAGUGGUAGGAAUGCAGAAUACACCAGAACACCCAGGAGAAGCUGUAGGUUUUCAGAUUUUUUUUUAAUAUUAAGAAUGCUUAUAUAGGAGCUAAAACAUUUUGAUAAUGGGGGAAAAAAGAAUGACCUUUUUUGCUGGAAAAUAUAAAUCAUUGGUAGUGAGUUCUGAGAGUAUUCAAAGAGUAUGUGUUUUUCUAUAGAGCAUUUUUAUGACUUAAAUCUUCAGCUCUCAUAAGAUAUAUGUAUUUAUAAAAGAUUUGUGGGUGAAGAGGCAAAUGCAUAAAUAAAGAUAGAUGAUUUUAAGAGACAUAGGUUGGGCUGAUUUGAAAAAGACACUUGUAUAUUGAUUACAAUUUUAGAGCUGUUACGUAAUGUUUCCAUUAACUAAAACACUUUAUUUUGCACUUUUAAAAUUAAAGUAUAGACAGUUCAGCAAACUUGGCUUGUUUUCACUAUCACUUAAGAGGCUAAGUUUCAGCCAGAUACUAAUGUAGAGUAUCUUAGGGUUGACUUUGUUUACCUAGCUUCAUCUGAAUUCUUAGGUAUUCCCUCCUUAGUUGUAUUUCUUUCCUCUCCUACAGUUAUAGAGGAGGUCAGUCUUUUGUUUUUUGUUGUUUUUUAAAGUGUUCUGAAAACACAACACUUGACAUUUAUGUGAUAUAUCCCACAUAUGCUGCAGACUUAGAAAUACUUUCUAAAUAUGUCAAAUUUUUUAUUCCUCUAUUUACAAAAAUUGGAUUUUUUUGGGUGGCUUCCAUAAGCACCUGAAAUUAGCACUGAUAGAGGUCUUUUAGAGUUAAUGCGUCUUUAAAAAAACUUUGUUUAAAGUAAAUAGGGAUAGCCAGAUAAUGAAUUUGUAAUGGCAUGGUUAUAGUAAUUUUUCUGUUGAAUAGUUUUAAGGGAAGAAAACCUUGUUUUACAUGGUGAUUAAAAAAAUCAGUUAAAAGGAAAGAAACACUUACCAUGGAAUAAACAGGUUAAAUAUAACAUGUACUAUCACCAAAUUGUAGAGUUAUCUUUAUUUUUCUUAGUUUUCAUAUUUGUGAAUCUUUCGUUAAUUUUGCAGAGAACACAGUGACAGAAAUAGCAUAUCUAGUUGUGCUCACAGAUUGGUUUUUCCUGCAGCUGCUGUAUGUUUUUGUUUUGUUUUGGUUUUUAGUAAAGUGGGCCUUUGCCUUCCUUACUUGGUGGGUUUUGGAGAUAACUUAAGGGCCUUCUACCAUGGUGAGAGCUUGAACUUUUGUUCCAUAUUGGCCUACUUAAUGGAACAGUGGCUACCAGAUUUCAGCUGUCUUGCCAUGCAACUCUUGUGCGUGUAUCACCUCUUCCUCACAUGCUUGAGGAAGUAAAUGAACACGUGUGGCUGUCCUUUCUGCCAUUGAUCAUGGUAUGCCCCAGAGGGUCUGGAAUGUCCUUGUGCAUUGAUUUAGCUCCUUUAGCUUCAUAGUACUUGUUAUCAAAGCCAUUUGGAUAUCUUUAUUUACUUUUAAUACUCUGAAACGCAUCCUUCCCUCCUCUUUUCAAAUUAACUCAGUCCUUGUUACUUGUACUGAACAUUCUGUAGUACGUGAGUCUUUCCCCAGUUUUUACCUUCACAUCCAGUUAAUAAGUUGGUACAGGAUUGGUAUUUGAUGUGUGACAUGAGAGGUGCUUAUUGAGAUUUGUAAAAUUAAAUAAUAGUGAUAUAGUUCUUUACAUAUUGAUUUUUAUUACUGUUCAUAUAUAACUUAGUUGCUGAAUAAGUUUGAAAGUGUUCAGUUGUUUUUGCAUCAACCUAUUUAGGCAUAUCAGUAUAUAUCAGAAAAUAUUAUAUACUUACAAUUUUAAAAAUGAAAUCUUACUGUGUAUUGAUCUUUAACAUGGCUUUGAUUUAACGAACUAUCAGCAUUUUUCCCUUGUCAGCUUUUUUUGCCCUGUGUUUGUUGGCCUCAUAGUAUUUCAUUGUCAGACCACUGUCAUGUAAUGAACUAUUUCCUCCAUUAUUGAACAUGUCCUCUUACAUUGUAACUUAGUUCCUUUAACUUCAUAGCACUUUUAUCAAAGCCAUUCGGAUAUCUUUAUUCCUUAUUAAUACUUUGAAAUGCACCCUUCUCUCCUCUUUUCAAAUUAACUCAAUCUUUGCUACUUGUACUGAAUUCUAUAGUAUGUAAGUCUUUCCCCAGUUUUUUAUCUUCACAUCAAAUUAAUAAGUUGGUUAGAUUUUUUUUUUUCUUAAGGCAUAAGUUAAUCUAUGAAGACCCUAUUUCUGAAUUAGUUCUAAUGGGAAUUAGGCAAAAGUGUAGCAUUGUGUUUCACACAGAGUACCCGCAAACUAUAAAGAUAAAAUGGUAAGUUACAUCUUAAUUUGUUACCCCUUACACAAAAAAUUGAGUGGAAUAAGGUAUAAAACCAUGCAUUCCAAUUCUCAGACAUUUGACACUUAUGACAAGGGCAGAUGUGCCUCUGUGUAUAAUUCUUUGGGCUUAAGUCUGAUUUCAACUAGCAUGUUUUAGAAAUACUUUCAACUUUUUGCUAAAUGAGAAUAAUGUUGCUGGUAUUUUUAAAAAGCACAGGUUCAGAAAUUUGUCUGCUGUUUCUUGGCUAUUUUUGUUACUGUUUCUUGGUGAAUAUUUGUUCCUACCUAUUUGUACUCCUACCCAGGAAAGAUGUCGAAGAUCUGAUCAAUGAAGCAACAUUUGAUGAUUUACUGAAUUUGCCUUCCAGAUUCAGUGUAUCUCCAAUUUUCCAGAUGACUGAAGAAAUUGGUCGUGUUAUUGAAAUUGAUUCUGAAGGCAGUUGCAAAAAGUAUAAGCCCACAGCGAACAUCCUAUUCAGCAGUAAAAAGCUCAAAGUCUUUCCUCUAAAAUCAAGAAAGGACAAGACAAGAAUGUCCACUCUUUGCCACUUCUAUUCAACAUAGUACUGGAAAUCCUACCCAGAGCAACUAGGCAGGAAAAAGAAAUUAAAGGCAAUCCAAGUUGGAAAGGAAAAAGUUAAACUGUCACUGUUUGCAGA
Molecule: long non-coding RNA, 3884 nt
Organism: Acinonyx jubatus (cheetah)
Lineage: Eukaryota; Metazoa; Chordata; Mammalia; Carnivora; Felidae
Exons: 2
Source: RefSeq, a predicted model, not a curated record